Small nuclear RNA from Grammomys surdaster, 104 nucleotides. Lineage: Eukaryota; Metazoa; Chordata; Mammalia; Rodentia; Muridae. The record is from RefSeq and is a predicted model, not a curated record.
GUGUUUCCUUCAGUGGCACAUAUAUUGAAGUUGGAAUGAUACAAAAAGAUUAGCAUGGUGCUUGCAAGAACGACAAGCAAAUUUGUGAAGCAUCUGUAUUCCUU